UACGUAGGGCGCAAGCGUUGUCCGGAAUUAUUGGGCGUAAAGAGCUCGUAGGCGGUUUGUCGCGUCUGCUGUGAAAACCUAAGGCUCAACCUUGGGCUUGCAGUGGGUACGGGCAGACUAGAGUGCGGUAGGGGUGACUGGAAUUCCUGGUGUAGCGGUGGAAUGCGCAGAUAUCAGGAGGAACACCGAUGGCGAAGGCAGGUCACUGGGCCGCAACUGACGCUGAGGAGCGAAAGCAUAGGGAGCGAACAGG
Molecule: ribosomal RNA, 253 nt
Filed under: uncultured bacterium
Lineage: Bacteria
Description: partial 16S ribosomal RNA
Rfam family: Bacterial small subunit ribosomal RNA
Source: RNAcentral